RNAcentral lists this ribosomal RNA (429 nucleotides) under Chloroflexota bacterium. RNAcentral's name for it is "Chloroflexi bacterium partial 16S ribosomal RNA". It matches the Rfam family "Bacterial small subunit ribosomal RNA", at positions 355 to 776 of the family's 1533-position model. The record is from RNAcentral. Lineage: Bacteria; Bacillati; Chloroflexota.
UGGGGAAUAUUGCACAAUGGGCGCAAGCCUGAUGCAGCCAUGCCGCGUGUGUGAAGAAGGCCUUCGGGUUGUAAAGCACUUUCAGCGGGGAGGAAGGCGAUAAGGUUAAUAACCUUGUCGAUUGACGUUACCCGCAGAAGAAGCACCGGCUAACUCCGUGCCAGCAGCCGCGGUAAUACGGAGGGUGCAAGCGUUAAUCGGAAUUACUGGGCGUAAAGCGCACGCAGGCGGUCUGUCAAGUCGGAUGUGAAAUCCCCGGGCUUAACCUGGGAACUGCAUUCGAAACUGGCAGGCUAGAGUCUCGUAGAGGGGGGUAGAAUUCCAGGUGUAGCGGUGAAAUGCGUAGAGAUCUGGAGGAAUACCGGUGGCGAAGGCGGCCCCCUGGACGAAGACUGACGCUCAGGUGCGAAAGCGUGGGGAGCAAACAGG